Molecule: long non-coding RNA, 2388 nt
Organism: Mandrillus leucophaeus (drill)
Lineage: Eukaryota; Metazoa; Chordata; Mammalia; Primates; Cercopithecidae
Exons: 4
Source: RefSeq, a predicted model, not a curated record
AGCAAUGUGCUGAAGCUCUUAAAAGAUUGGAUCUGAGAGAGAGAGACACAGAGGAGAAAGAGAACUAGAGACAGAGAGAGGCAGACAGGGAGGGGGGGGAAAGACUUUCUUUUUCUUUCUAGAGGAAUUCUGCCCAGACUCUGCAGCAGUUGGUAGCAGGCAAGCUUUCUCCUGGGUGUCGCCUGGAAAAGUUGCAAAAUUGUUCUUCACCUGUAAGAACAUGCUCUUUAUCUUCCAGUCUCUUCUUGUCAAUUUGGAAAUUGCAGACAGCCCGGCUCAGGCUGAAGUGCAGUGGCACAAUCUUAGCUCACUGAAACCUCCACCUCCCAGAUUCAAGCGAUUCUCGUGCCUCAGCUUCCCAAGUAGCUGGGAUUACAGGCUUGUCAGAAAAAAUUUCUUAAUGAAAGAGAUGAUGAUGUUGACCUUAACCUCCAGAAUGAAGAAACUUCAGGACUUAGUCUGAAAAGGCUACCAAGUCGUGAUGGAGAAAAACAUGAAACCAUUGAUUCAGUUCAUUGCAAAUUCAUUCUACCAAACCUGACCUGGCUCUUGUUGCUGCUUGGUAGUCCUUUUAUUAAUCUCUUGGAGACUCAUUGAUUAGUUUCCUCUAUUGGUUGUCUAAAAACUUUUUUCAUGUUUUUGAAACUCACUGUGUGAUCUCCCCUUCCCCUUGCACUCAGAAGAUGAUCUUGCUUUCUGCUUUACUGAGAAGUUCAAGAUUAUCUGCAAUCUCCUUCAACUUUCCACUCCUAUCCUAUUUUCUAUUUUUCUUCAUCUCUUGCUUCCUCUGCUCUUUUGUUUUAGGGGAAGAAACAACCCCUCCAUUUCUAGGUUGAACCUAACUUCUCCAGGACUCUUGUCUGUAAAUUGUACUUUCUUUUUGUUCUCUCUUUUUUUUUUUUUUUUUGAGACAGAAUCUCGCUCUGUUGCCCAUGCUGGAGUGCAGUGGCAUGAUCUCAGGUCACUGCAACCUCCACCUCCUGGGUUAAAGCAAUUCUCCUGCCUCAGCCUUCCCAGUAGCUGGGAUUACAGGCGCCCGUCAUCACUCCCUGCUAAAUUUUGGUAUUUUUAGUAGAGACAGGUUUUCGGGUUUUCGCUGUGUUUGGCCAGGCUGGUCUCGAAUUCCUGACCUCAGGUGAUCCGCCCACCCCCACCCGCCUCGGCCUCCCAAAGCGCUGGGAUUACAGACGCGAGCCACGGUGCCCAGCUGAAUUGUACCUUCUGUUCUGUAAAAUACUAAAAUCCCUUGUUGUAUGUUCUUUAAUUUUGAGAAAAUAAUAAAUAAAGCACAGAGAAUAAUAAGACAAAUAUGCUUGUUUCCAAAAUGCAGAAUUGACUGUUAAUAUUAUCAAACGCUGGUUUAUCUUUUUUCUAAUAAAAAAGGUACAGAUAAAGUUGAAGUUCCCUUUGACCUACCUUUGCAGUCCUGUUGCCUACAUUCCCUCCCUCAAAGCAACCCUAUAUAAUAUCUGUAUGUAUUGUUUGAGGUCAUUAAAGAAUACAUUUAUGUGCCCAUAUACAUAAUAAUAUGUGUGAUUGUUCAGUGAGUAAUUUAAGAAUUUUCAAAUUUAAUAUUCACAGCCUAUUUUGUGAUGUUUCUGUCUUCUAUCCAUGCUAGUAUAUGUGGAUCUAUUUGUAAGUUUUCUGAGGGCAGGGACUCUGUCUUGCUCAUUGCUGAAUUUCCAGCACCUAGAAGAGCAUUUGGCAAGUAAACAUUCAAUCUUUCUUUCCUUCUUUCUUUCCUUCUUUCUUUCCUUCUUCCUCUCUUCUCCUUUCCUUUCCUUUCUUUCUCACUCUCUGUCUCUCUCUCUCUUUCUUUCUUUCUUCUUCUUCUUUUUUUUUUUUGACAGGGUCUCACUCUGUCUCCCAGGCUGGAGUGCAGUGGCACUAUCACUGCUCACUGCAACCUCCUCCUUCCAGGCUCAAGCAAUCCUCCCACCUCAGCCUCCUGACAGGUGUGCACCAUGUCACCUGGAUAAUUUUUUGUAUUUUUUUUUUUUUUUGUAGAGACAGGGUUUCAGCAUGUUGCCCAGACUGGUCUCAAACUCCUUUGCUCAAGUGAUCCUCCUGCCUUGGCCUCCCAAAGUGCUGGGACUAUAGAUGUGAGCCACUAUGCCUGCCAAUAUAUGUAUAUAUUUCUUAAGUGAGUUAAUAUCGUUCAUUUUUAACUGCUGUAUAGUAAUCAACUGUAUGAGUAUUCCACAUAUCACAUUUUAUUUAUUCAUUCUCCUACCAGUAGACAAUUUGUGCUUUCCUAAUUUCCAUGCUUCUUAUUACAAAUAAUGUUGUGGAACAGCCUUGUAGAAGUCUCCUGUGCCUACGCUUGAGUUGUAUCAGAGUUGGAAUUGCUGCUUUUCACAAAUAAACUUUAAACUAGAUUUAGCCAAA